AUUCAAUAGAUUUAUUAAAUUAGUGAAAUGCUUUUCAGUUUCAAAACUGUAAACAGACGCUUCCCCUUUCACCUUACCUUCUACCUUUUCUCCUUCUCUCAGCCGUUUCUAGGUUUCAAGUCGUUUAAAACCUUCUCUCAGACACACUGCUUUUCCGUGUUUGCCACUGAUUUCAGCACCUCCUCGACACCCUCCCUCGCCCUUCCACCGCUGUCUGGAAAACCUUCAUCAUGGGCUUCAUCUGCGACCAGGAUUCAGAACUGAUAUCGUUUCCCUUUUUUUCUCUGAUCGUGAUGGAGAAGAUUGUUGAGGUUUGGCAAUCAGGUUAGAACUAGAUUGCUGAGGUUUGGCAAUCAGGUUUGAACGAUGAUGUUUUCUGCUCUUUGUCAAUUCAUUUUCAUUUUUUCCGUUCAGAACCUAUUUGAUUAGGUCUUCAAGGGCUUCCUUCCGAUGAGAACGACGAUCUGCACCCAAAAGUUAUGAAUUGUCGUUUUGCUUACCCAUAGAGAGAGGGAGAGUGGGCGAUAGAGCGACGGUGGCAACAGUCCACCAAGACUCUGCUCUCACCGAAGGACGCCGUGGUUUGCUUGAUUUGGCUUUUAUUUUCAUAUUUAAGAUUAGUAUGACCCAAUUGGCAACCAGCAAGAAGAAUUAAGAAGAAGCACCUAACUUUGUGUAACCAUGCUUCACCUAUACCUCAAUGGUGAUUAUCAAGCCUCUGCCAUGUACUUUUGUUGAAUGUUGAUACAUAAACUACUUCUAAAAGUUCCAAAGUGGGUAUGGUCCCUCAAUUGAAAGUUGAAAGUGCAUCUCCUACCACGGGUUGUUCAGUGCACAUUGUAUAGUUCCUUGGCAUGCAGCGAUGAAUUGCAAGGAAUGCCUCAAGUCUGAAAGGAAAGGUGAAAAAGAUUCAAAUAGAAGUGGUUGUUCUUGCUUCCUCUCCUACCACGGGCUGUUCAGUUUCUGUAUUUUGCUAAAGGUAACAUGUAAUAAUUAAUGAAAAUAUGAGUGGUUGUUCUUGCUUCCUCCAUUUUCUCUUUACAGGUUGGAUGCAACUUCUGCUACAACAGUGGGAAGGAUUGAAGGCAUGGACAUAUAUGUGACAAACCUUAGUCCACAUUAGACUUCACAUGUAUCAUUGGAAGUCCUACCAUUCAGAAUUAGAUUUUAUUUUGAAUUACUCAAUUGCAUUGAGGUGAGGAGAUUUAAAGUUUUCUUUUGGUAUGAGUUUCCAAUUAUUCUACACAUCUUAUCUCUCAUGUAAAUGAAAAGAAAUAAAGUGUUGUUUGUAAGGAUAGAUUGUAUGCUUUAUAAUAGGGAUUUCAAAAUAAUUUAGUUGUAGUAGUUUAUUUCAGCUUACUUUCAUGUAUUUAAGCAGAAACACCUGAGAAUAGGAUGGAGUAACUUUAGGGAUCAAAAGCUAUUUUCAAAAGUUCAAAUUGAUUCCACAAAAAUUAGUUGUUUGCAUUUGCAGACCAGGUUCCAAGUUGUUUUCCCAGCCUCCUUCCCCAUAGGCAUGCUAGCCAUUUGCACAUGUGCUUGGAUUUUGUUUGUCUUUGAAAGGAUGCUGCCAUGGGAAGAAAAAUCUCUUCCAUUCCAGCAUCGGGGUGGUAAUGAGGAUAAUGGAGUUAAGUUAGUGAAACACAUUUCUUUGUUGUGCUAAAAAUGUAUAACAAUGAACAAGCAUGGGGAAAUUCUUAUCUAAUGCAUGGAAUGGACUUGGGAAACAAGAGUGCAUAUGAGCAAAACCAGGGACAACAGAGAUUCAGUUUACAUUCUCUAAGUAAAACCAGAGACACAACAUAGAUUCAGUUUGCAUCUAUCUAUAAACUAUAUAAAGGAAGAGCUUUUCAGCCUAGAGGGUAAGUUUGUAAUUCAAUAUCCUAUUGCACUACAAUUUAAUUUCCUUUAUGGGUAUUUUGGUAAAGGUAAACAUUAUUUUCCAAAAGAUGCAAUCCCAGCCGUUCUUUUGAUCUCUGUUGAGUUUUUGCUUGAAAAAACCCUUUGACUUUCAUUCUUCACAAUUGUAUUCGUAACCGAGAAAAUGUUUUGAGCUCUCAACACCUGCAGAACGUUUUGAGUCUCCUCAUCUGCUUAUCAUCUUGGUUAAAUAGGACUGGCUUCGUCGAUUUCUCUUUCACCCUGUUUCCCCUAAUUUUUUUGUCAUUCCUUCACAGGUGAUCACUUUCCAUUUUUGUUGUUUCAUCAUUUUACAUUUUCAAUGUUUGAGCUCUCUUAAUUUGAUUAUUUUGCAUAUAUAUAAUCAAAACGUUGACUAUGUGUAUGAUGCCUUCUAACAGUUUUGUUUGUACCCAAAAAUGCUCCAAUGUUCAAUUUCUUAUGGCAUGUUUCAGUUUUCCUCAAUGCCACAGAAUAGCAGCAAGAUGGUGCCCCGACGACCACAAUUUCAGCUGCUUUAGCGGCUGCGUGACUGGUGCACUAACCUGGGAUGCUACACAGCAAUUAGGAGCAUUCAAUUUCUUAUGCUUUCUUUUCUUCUCUUUGUUACCCAAGAUUUACAUGUUUAGCCAGAUGAAGAAUUUGUAAAACCUUUUGUUCAUGUAUUGUUAUGUAGGAGGUUUGCUGCACAAAUCACCAUCUCAAAUGAAAUUGCGCUGAGGUACAUCCUCUUUCUCUUUCUCAUUUGGUGAAAUUGAGGUACAUAUCCUUUACUAUUAGACUAAAAUAUUGAGCAGCCAUAUUUUUAAUAUAUAACCAAGAAAGGGUAUGGAGAUUAUUCCAUGUCCAUAUGUUAUGAUUAUAGUGCCACUAUCUUAGGAGAAAACUGAAACGCUGCAUAGUGAUUCAGAUCAUAUGGUAUUAGUUUAUGUAUCUGUUCUCUUUUUUUUUUUCCUUAUAUCUAUUUUAAUGUUUUAUUUGUGAUCAUGAUCCUUUUGAAGCAGUUGAAUACAUUGAGGAUCUUCAUUCUUUGUAUUGGAAACUGGAGGUAUCUGAUUGUUAUAAUUUACUUCAAUUGGGAAAUUGAUAAAAGUUUCAGGAGGGCAUUGACUUCAAAUGUGGGGGUAGUUUCACCAAAUGAACGAGAUUUAAGGAAAGGACAUGGGGAGUGACACAUAUUGUUGCUAUCUCUUAAAUUUUCUUGGUCUAAUGAAUCUUUGUUAGUCGAACUGAGCUUAUUUUCUCAAGCCUUAAGAGCAAGUUUUCUAAAUCUGAUGCUUAUUAGAUGUUUUUCCUUUGUUGACUACCCUUGCUUUUAUAUCCUAAUUUUAACAGAUACAUUUAUUUCAUUUGUUAUAAAAAUUGAUGUGUCUUGCUUGCUGAAAUGAACUAAUAUAACACAGGAGAGUUCUUAUUGCUUACUGAUUAGAAUGUGAAGAUAAAUUUAAUAAUAUAGAAGUUAUAUUAUGUCUUCAGGUUAUUUCAGAGGAAAAUCAACGCGCUAUUGUAGUUAACUGGUGGUACUAAUUUACAACACAUAAGAUGGAUGAGAGCUGAGGUGCACUGACACUAAUUUAGAGCACUGAAAAAUACCUUAUCUUUUGAUAGCUUUUUUCGCUUUGUUGCUAUGAAAAUUUGAAUAUGAUUAGUUGUAGUGCUUACCUGCUUGCUCACAAUCAAAGUGUUUAAUUGGGUUUUGUGAUUGAAUAUGUUUUGGCCUUGAAGUGAGAUGAGUUUUUCAUAUUCAUAAGAAUUGGGAUGUGUGAUGGUUUAAAUGUUACAUUUUCUCCUUUUUAUGGUCGUGUAAAGCUGGGGAUGGGGAGUGAGGAGUUGUAUGGUAACAUUGUGUCUCUGUAUAUUUAUUUUUGUAGCAAACAGAUGAUAUGAAUGUACCUUAAAAUGCUAGCAUUUAUUUGAGUGAUUCAAUGUUUCCGUUAUCA
This is a long non-coding RNA of Lotus japonicus, 3839 nucleotides long. RefSeq lists it as uncharacterized. The record is from RefSeq and is a predicted model, not a curated record. The transcript is spliced from 6 exons. NCBI's taxonomy places the organism in Eukaryota, Viridiplantae, Streptophyta, Magnoliopsida, Fabales, Fabaceae.